UUAUGAUUGAGGUCACAAGCCUGCAAGGUGCUGUCCUUGCCUUCCUGUCUGUCUCCACCGUGAGCUUCAUCUGUGCUCUCUGCAUACGCUGUAGGAAGAAAACUAUGAUUGUACAGGAGAGUAACCAACUCUAUGUUCCACAAAUAUUGUAAGAUGUCUGAGAUUAUUUUUUUCUGGUGAAUUUAUUACAGCAUUGUGCCAUUGCCAUUUCUUUGUUAACACACAAUAGUCAUCUCUCUUACUCAGGAUGAACUCGUGUUAACACAUCUGGUGUUAAGCAUGUAAUUGCAUGUCCAUCACAACCUUGAGACAGCUUUCUGAUCCAGCCAUGAGAAUGCUUUCAAUACGUUGAAAAGUUCUGGAAGUCAUUUAGAUAGAAAGUGUUCAUUUCCCCUAUGUAUGGAGACUUUGGGGACACAAUGUAUUAUAGUCUUUAAUAAAUAAUUGAUCUUUUUUGUUCUCAUUUAAAUGCUAUAUGUGUAAAUGAUAGAGCAAGAUAAAGGUUUAUAUUGUUUUAUUCUGGCUUUAUCCAGUCACCGAGGGGGGAGCAAAUUUGCUGUGACAAGGUCAAAAACAGUGACGAGAACUAACCAGAUGAGCACAAAUCCGUGUCAGAGUUCGGGGGAAAUAACUGUCGCACACACACCUAAGAGCCAGCUGGAGACAGCUGUCCAGGACCAGGGGGGCAGUUACGAGAACAUUAAACAAUCAAUUCAUGGUAGUAUGGAACCCACCUAUGUAGAUCCAAUAUCAACACCGCCACACAAUAACAAUGUUUUACAUGAUGAUGACAUCGGAGACUACGCAAAUAUUUUUCCAACGCAAGAUGUUCAACAUGACUCAGAUGAGCCAGAUUACGUCAACGCAGACACGGCUAACAACUAACACAUAAAUAAAGUUUUACACUGUUAUCCAAGUUAGAUUAAAUAAGUAUUAGAAUAUAUUGGCAUAUUUAAUAGCACAG
Ictalurus punctatus (channel catfish) is the source of this 964-nucleotide long non-coding RNA. NCBI's taxonomy places the organism in Eukaryota, Metazoa, Chordata, Actinopteri, Siluriformes, Ictaluridae. The record is from Ensembl.